Molecule: ribosomal RNA, 425 nt
Filed under: Bacillus sp. (in: firmicutes)
Lineage: Bacteria; Bacillati; Bacillota; Bacilli; Caryophanales; Bacillaceae
Description: bacterial SSU rRNA
Rfam family: Bacterial small subunit ribosomal RNA
Source: RNAcentral
UACUCCUACGGGGAGGCAGCAGUAGGGAAUCUUCCGCAAUGGACGAAAGUCUGACGGAGCAACGCCGCGUGAGUGAUGAAGGCUUUCGGGUCGUAAAACUCUGUUGUUAGGGAAGAACAAGUACGAGAGUAACUGCUCGUACCUUGACGGUACCUAACCAGAAAGCCACGGCUAACUACGUGCCAGCAGCCGCGGUAAUACGUAGGUGGCAAGCGUUAUCCGGAAUUAUUGGGCGUAAAGCGCGCGCAGGCGGUUUCUUAAGUCUGAUGUGAAAGCCCACGGCUCAACCGUGGAGGGUCAUUGGAAACUGGGGAACUUGAGUGCAGAAGAGAAAAGCGGAAUUCCACGUGUAGCGGUGAAAUGCGUAGAGAUGUGGAGGAACACCAGUGGCGAAGGCGGCUUUUGGUCUGUAACUGACGCUGAGC